This 427-nucleotide ribosomal RNA is filed under the name uncultured cyanobacterium. Its description in RNAcentral is "bacterial SSU rRNA". It matches the Rfam family "Bacterial small subunit ribosomal RNA", at positions 359 to 795 of the family's 1533-position model. Lineage: Bacteria; Bacillati; Cyanobacteriota. The record is from RNAcentral.
GAAUUUUCCGCAAUGGGCGAAAGCCUGACGCAGCAACGCCGCGUGGAGGAUGAAGGCCCUCGGGUCGUAAACUCCUGUCAGUGGGGAAGAAUGCUUCGGUUUGACUGUACCCGCUGAGGAAGCCACGGCUAACUCCGUGCCAGCAGCCGCGGUAAUACGGAGGUGGCAAGCGUUGUUCGGAAUUACUGGGCGUAAAGGGCGCGUAGGCGGCUUAGCAAGUCAGGUGUGAAAUCCCCGAGCUUAACUUGGGGAUUGCACCUGAAACUGCCGAGCUUGAGUCCUGGAGGGGAUAGCGGAAUUCCCAGUGUAGCGGUGAAAUGCGUAGAUAUUGGGAGGAACACCUGUGGCGAAGGCGGCUAUCUGGACAGUGACUGACGCUGAGGCGCGAAAGCUAGGGGAGCGAAAGGGAUUAGAUACCCCUGUAGUC